ACGCGCGCUCCGGGGUCGGUGAAAUUCCGAGCCGGCGGUGAUAGUCCGCGACCCACACCCGCACAGUUCGGGGUGUGGCUGAUCCGGUGAAAUUCCGGAACCGACGGUCAAAGUCCGGAUGGGAGGACGCGCGC
This 134-nucleotide non-coding RNA is filed under the name Frankia sp. AcoPraII.1. RNAcentral's name for it is "FMN". It matches the Rfam family "FMN riboswitch aptamer (RFN element)". From Rfam's summary of the family: The RFN element is a highly conserved domain that is found frequently in the 5'-untranslated regions of prokaryotic mRNAs that encode for flavin mononucleotide (FMN) biosynthesis and transport proteins. This element is a metabolite-dependent riboswitch that directly binds FMN in the absence of proteins. Lineage: Bacteria; Bacillati; Actinomycetota; Actinomycetes; Frankiales; Frankiaceae. The record is from RNAcentral.